CUGGCCGGGAGGAGGAGGAGGCUGGAGCACCUCUGAGAGGAGGACAGGCUGAGGGAGCUGGGAUUGUUCAGCCUGCAGAAGAGGAGGCUCUGGGGAGACGUUAGAGCAACUUCCAGUACCUGAAGGGGCUACAAGAAAGAUGGAGGAAUUUAGCAGCAUACAUGGAAAUUUGCUUUCAGAAUUGAAGUUCUGCAGGACUUGAUCCUGUGCUCACACUUGUGUAAGCCUAGCGCGAGGCAUGACAGCAUUGUGCACAAGGUGGGGUCUCGGCAUAGUGAAAACUUCAAAGAAUAAAAUGGAUUGGUUUGGCAGACCUGAAAAGCCUAAAUGAAUUCACUGGUUGGAACAUUUGAAGACUGCUGAUAUGGAACAGCACAGCCAGCAUCGUAAAGGGUGUUAUCUGUUCAGCAUGAACAUAAUGAUGCAGACGUCUCCAGCGUCAGGGUGAUACUGGAACUCUGAUGAAGCUGAGGAAACAUUUAGCAAUGUCUGCGCUCGAAGCAGUAUUGAAUAUGUGCUACUAGUCUCCAUGCAAUGAAGCUCAGACUUAGUGGUGUGUAGUCCCCUGUAUCCCUUCUGAAUCCAUUGGAUGCUGAGUAGAUGUAAAGGAUUACAUCAUUAUAAGAUUAUUUCAAAUAAACCUCACAAAAUCUAAAUAAAUGCAGCCAAGUGCCUUAUGGAAGAAAAUAUCCUCAUCGUUCCUGUUUGGCUCCUCUGAAGGAAUGGGCUGCAAGUUUUGUGGGUGGUCUGUGAGAAAUUCAGCGAAGCCCAAGUGGAGCAACUCAACUGCUAUCUUCAAAGAGAAAUGUUCUUCCAACAGAUGUUUUCUGUACUGUUUUUGCUUUAGUGUUUUAUUGAGUAGUCUACUGACCAAGCUGCUACCAUUUAUGAUUCUGCAAGAGUCAACCUAUUUUCCCUCCUCUGCUAAGCCACAAGAAUAAUUUUUUCCAACACAAGUCACUCAUAUCAACUUAUUGUGAAAGUUUUUAGAGACCUAAUAGCUUUGCAACAAUAUUUUAUAUUAUGGCUGAUAAUGAUAUUGAAAUAGUAUUGGAGUCUACAUUUCCUCUGUGCAAUAGAAGAAAACAGAUUGAAGUGUAUUUCCCCUCAGCUUUGCAAUACUACUUUGCAAUACUACUGAAGUUUUGACAAUAAACAAAGAGUGCGACAUUAUUAUUCAACAGGCCAAAAGGCCUUUCGUCAAAACCAGAGUAUUUUUAUUUGCAUGAAUGUAAAGCAAGCCAGCAUUCAUAUAUCCCACUACUAGUUGCCCUAAAUUGCAAAUAUUUCACUUUAAAGUCUUUGAUGCAUUAUAUUGCUCAGACACCAGAAACAGUUAACUAUUUAAUGAAUAUUUUUUUCCAAGGUCAGGAUGCCAGUGCGAUAAAACAUGCUGCAGAAAUUGUCUGAAAAAUAUAUGGGUAAGGAGGACCAAAAAACCAGGACUGCACUGAUGAAAAUGUACAGAGCCAAGAAACUGUAAUACUGCUAAAAGUCAAAUGAAUGGACAAAGAAAUGCUAUUUACAGCAUAGCUGGCCAUCACAAUUACUCCAUUGAUUAAAAAAAAAUCAGCCAAUUUCUUUCAAUAUUAGAUCACAUUUAAAGUUUGCCAUUACUUGAACUGUCUCUCUCUAAAUAUUUAAACUUUCAGAAACAAUUACUAAACAAAGAGUUUAUUGCUGGAUUUUAAUUUUGAAUCAAAGCCCAAUCCUAACAGGACACUGGCUUUGUCAUUCAGACAGUGUUACAAAAAUUUAUGUCAUUUUACUCUUUGGAGAGGUGUGAACGUUGAACCUGGACAAUGAAGGGACGCAUGUUCGGCUCAGUGUCUCAGGUGCUGGGAAAAUCUUCACUGUGUAUGUUCUGGCUUUCCAGAGUGAUGUACAGUGUGUUUUCACUAGUCUUUCCAAGCAAGAGUAUGCUUAUGACAUGCAUCUUGGGAUCAACUACACCUGAUCCAGAGAAAACAAUUAAUUGAGAUUGUAACAGAACUGAACAUGCAUAAAAAAUCAAUUGGUUUUCAGUAUCCCACGAUAUGCCAAGCAGGUUACAAUGGUAAAUGUAAUGAUCAUGGUAAGAGUGUGACGCUGUAGGUAAACAAGACAGUCAUUAUGUGCAUUGUAAUGUUCCAUGUGCAGCUUGACACUGGAAUUACUUAGUAGGAUACUGAAUAUUGUCAGUUAGCCAGUUAUGCUUUUGAAACCCACCUGGCAUCUUUAGCUUAGAGUACUACAAGAUGUGGGCAGAAGGGACCUCAGGUUAACUCUUUGCUGUUGGCUUUAUAUCUGAGCUUAAUCUACCAGAUUGCUGUCCAGAUGAUUGUACAUCUUAGGAUUGAAGGACACUGUCUGCACUGCAAAUCACACCUGAUUUGGAAGAGAGUCCUGCUAACCUUCAUCACGCAACAAGACUUCUAGGCUUCUACCAACUGAGGGUUAUACUACUUGCAGGUUAUCUUAUUUCGAGGACAGUUGUCUUCUAAAUACUGAUUUUGAUAACGGAUCAAUGAUAACAUAUAGGUAAAUAGCUGAUCCUUCAAAAUAGUUGUUACUAACACUUUUCCACUAAAAAAAUAAGGUGUUAUUUACAGAUGACCAGAUGCUCAGGUGGUGGGAACAAGCCUGGUAUUACUGAAAUCAGCACUGCACCAUAACUUCCCUUUCUACAGAAGGAAUAGGUGCUUAACUCUGUUCUAUAUUCCCCAGAACCUACUUAAGUCACAGUUUUCCGCUUGUGAAACCAAGUCUCAUUUCUUCGCCACGAAACUGUUAUAUCAAUAAAGAGACUCACUUAAGUUGAGAAAUAAUAACAUUUACUUAAAUACACCAUCCUCUUUCAAUUCACCUCUGUCUCAGAAGAUACACGUGUAAAACACUUUAAAAAGCGAUUUCGGCUUUCCAGUUCAAUAAGCAGGUUUAAGUACACAUGCCUCCCAAAACCUGACUCUGUUGAAAGCGAUGCAGGACAGACAGCCACAGUGCUCAAAAAUCUGCAUCCCCUCACUUUGCAAAAGCACGCUUAUUUUCUAAACUCUGCAUCUGCAAACCAAACCUAGCAUCCGAAAGCUCUUCCAUCUGCGUGUCUCCACAUGCAAUAAGGAUUCAGCAGGCUAAACUAUGCCAUUAUUAUCUUCAAGUUUUGACUUCGCUGGUACCUGAGUGUUGGUAUAAAUGAGGGAUGUUGUAACUCAUCUGGCAAAACAUUAUCUUUCUGGAGGAUCACGUGAGCUAAAAUAAACUGCAGCUUAUUGUUACACAGCUGCACAAACAGGCUAAGAUUUAAUUGAAACCUGUCACUAUGGUGGACAAUCCUCCUGUCCAUGGAUACUGUCUCAUUUCCGUGAGAAGAUGCCAUUGUUCCACAAAGAACAACACUUUAAUGCAAAAACUGCUGAGUUUCCUAUUGUGAUCCAGAAAUAUAUGCAUGUGAGAUUCCCCUUCAGAGAUUUAGCUAUAAUCUUUAGAUCACUUACCUAAGGUGGUGUAAUAUAAUCUGACACGAUGUUAAAAUAAGACUUUAGAUUUCAAAGUCAGCAUCCCUGACCAUCUAAUUGU
Molecule: long non-coding RNA, 3555 nt
Organism: Cuculus canorus (common cuckoo)
Lineage: Eukaryota; Metazoa; Chordata; Aves; Cuculiformes; Cuculidae
Exons: 5
Source: RefSeq, a predicted model, not a curated record